UAAGACGAACCGUGCAAACGUUAUUCGGAAUCACUGGGCAUAAAGGGCGCGUAGGCGGCUCCAAAAGUCAGGGGUGAAAUCCGGCAGCUUAACUGUCGCAGUGCCUUUGAUACUGUGGAGCUAGAGGGAGGUAGGGGUCUGUGGAACUUCCGGUGGAGCGGUGAAAUGCGUUGAUAUCGGAAGGAACGCCGGUGGCGAAAGCGACGGACUGGAUCUCUUCUGACGCUGAGGCGCGAAAGCCAGGGGAGCAAACGGGAUUAGAUACCCCGGUAGUCCUGGCCCUAAACGAUGGGUACUAGAUUGCGGACUUACAUGGGUUCGCAGUCGAAGCUAAUGUUUUAAGUACCCCGCCUGGGGAGUAUGGUCGCAAGGCUG
Molecule: ribosomal RNA, 375 nt
Filed under: uncultured bacterium
Lineage: Bacteria
Description: bacterial SSU rRNA
Rfam family: Bacterial small subunit ribosomal RNA
Source: RNAcentral